GAAUUUAUAGCGUACCUGUUUAACCAGGGCGUGACCUCUCACUUUUCAAACUCUGUGCACUUAUUUUUGAUCGGCGAGGGGAAGGGCUUCAUUGCCUGGAACUCUGCGGGUCAAUCAUUAUUUAAACAUUAAAAGUCAUCGUAUGUCAAAGAAAUUUAAUAACAAAAAAAACUUUCAACAACGGAUCUCUUGGCUCU
This 197-nucleotide unclassified non-coding RNA is filed under the name rhizosphere metagenome. RNAcentral describes it as "partial ribosomal RNA internal transcribed spacer region". The record is from RNAcentral.